RNAcentral lists this unclassified non-coding RNA (1420 nucleotides) under Hevea brasiliensis (rubber tree). The record is from RNAcentral. Lineage: Eukaryota; Viridiplantae; Streptophyta; Magnoliopsida; Malpighiales; Euphorbiaceae.
CAAGGAAUCAUCUAAGGAAUACCAGAAAGUUUCCUACUCUCUAGAGUGCUCUCCUCUCUUAUCUUCCUUCUCCACACUUAGAGUGAGUGUGAGUGUUUGGCUGGCUAGGCAUCGCGGAGGGUGUUCUAGCGCCGCACGGGCUCUGCGCGUAGGCAGAAGAGUUGGUCCGUGACAAGUGGUAUCAGAGCCGAGUUUGGAGAGCCUCAUGGAGUCCGAAGUCCCGAUGGAGUCCGGGAUCGCCGUCGAAGGUGCCCGUCCCAAGCCCCACAAGUCCAGGAGGGACAGAAGCCGGGAUAUGCGUGAGAAUCCCGAGUUGGGUCCGCUCGAGGAGCGGGUGGGCCUCGUGGAGGAGGAUGCGAAGGGCACGGCAAGGCGUAUUGAUUCCUUGGAGGAGUUUGUGCAGGGCUUGGAGGGAGAUGUGCUCGCCUCCAUGGAGGCCUUUCGCGCGCAGGUGAAAGAGCUUCAUGCCAUGGUUCAUAUCAAGGAGCAGCUUGAAGAGAAGGUGGCAUCCCAGGCGGCUGAGAUUGCGGAGUUGCGGGCUAUGGUCGAGGGCUAUGGUGAGCUCAAGACCAAAGUCCUUAUCCUUGAGAAGGCCGUAGCACAUGGUGGACCUUCGAGCAGGGAGGCACCACGUUUCAGGAUCCCCGAGCCAAAGUCCUUCAGCGGAGUGAGGGACGCCAAGGAAGUUGAGAACUUCCUUUGGGGGAUGGAGCGCUACCUCAAGGCGCUCAAAGUUGAGGAUGAGGUGGAGAAGGUAAGCACUGCUUCUCUCUACUUCACUGAGGAUGCGCUGCUUUGGUGGAGGCGGCGUUGUGCAGAGAUCGAGAAGGGUCUUUGCAUCAUUGACUCAUGGGAGGAUCUCAAGAGGGAGAUCAAGUCCCAAUUCUUUCCGGAGAAUGUUGAGUUUGCUGCUCGGAGGAGUCUGCGCCAACUCAAGCAUACAGGGGCGAUCACGGAUUACGUCAAGGAGUUCACGCGACUCAUGAUCAGCAUCACCAACAUGACCGAGGAGGACCGUCUUUUCCAAUUCCUUGACGGUUUGCAACCAUGGGCGGCACAAGAGUUGCAAAGGAGAGGAGUCCAAGAUUUAAACGCUGCAGUGGCCGCGGCCGAGAAGCUCAUGGAGUGGAAGAGGCGGGAGUGCUCUGAGGAUUCUCCCGAGUUCGUUACCAUGGAGGAGCAUGGUAAUGGAGGAAAGAAGACCCCGUUCAAGGAAGGAGCCACGAACGGGAGAGACUCGCCAGAGAGGCGUUUGGUUUGCUUCGUGUGCGGAGGCAACCACCGUGCCAGGGACUGCAAGAAAAAGGUGUGCAACGCAGUCCAAGUUGAGGAGAAUGAGGACCUCGAGAAUGUGCCGAGGAUUGGAACUGUUCGGGUCCUCAAUACACUGCGAGUCGUAGAUGGCAAGGAGGCCAACUCG